UACAGAGGUCUCAAGCGUUGUUCGGAUUCAUUGGGCGUAAAGGGUGCGUAGGCGGCGCGGUAAGUCGGGUGUGAAAUCUUGGAGCUUAACUCCGAAACUGCAUUCGAUACUGCCGUGCUUGAGGACUGGAGAGGAGACUGGAAUUUACGGUGUAGCGGUGAAAUGCGUAGAUAUCGUAAGGAAGACCAGUGGCGAAGGCGGGUCUCUGGACAGUUCCUGACGCUGAGGCACGAAAGCGUGGGGAGCAAACAGG
Molecule: ribosomal RNA, 253 nt
Filed under: uncultured bacterium
Lineage: Bacteria
Description: partial 16S ribosomal RNA
Rfam family: Bacterial small subunit ribosomal RNA
Source: RNAcentral